This 274-nucleotide ribosomal RNA is filed under the name uncultured bacterium. RNAcentral describes it as "partial 16S ribosomal RNA". It matches the Rfam family "Bacterial small subunit ribosomal RNA", at positions 523 to 796 of the family's 1533-position model. The record is from RNAcentral.
AUACAGAGGGUGCGAGCGUUAAUCGGAAUUACUGGGCGUAAAGCGCGCGUAGGCGGCUUAUUAAGUCAGAUGUGAAAUCCCCGGGCUCAACCUGGGAACUGCAUCUGAUACUGGUAAGCUAGAGUUUUGGAGAGGGAAGUAGAAUUUCAGGUGUAGCGGUGAAAUGCGUAGAGAUCCGAAUGAAUACCAGUGGCGAAGGCGACUUCCUGGCCAAAAACUGACGCUGAGGUGCGAAAGCGUGGGUAGCAAACGGGAUUAGAUACCCCAGUAGUCC